Molecule: RNA transcript, 3658 nt
Organism: Eriocheir sinensis (Chinese mitten crab)
Lineage: Eukaryota; Metazoa; Arthropoda; Malacostraca; Decapoda; Varunidae
Gene name: autophagy protein 5-like
Exons: 11
Source: RefSeq, a predicted model, not a curated record
GAUAGUUUAUUGUUGCUGGGAAACAACAGAGGAGAAGGGAGGAACAUGCCAUCCCAACCCCCAGGCAGGACAGAGUGUGAUUAUACAACUAGUAAUACAUGUGGAGGCAGUACCAAGAAACGAUAAAGACACAAUGGCAGGAAUGAAUGCACAACAAGGGAGGGGGGCGGUACCUGCCGGCCUGCCCCUGGGCAAUGAUGAUGUGUUGUCUGUGGCAGUGUUCACCCACGAGGCGCCCCAGCUGGUGAUGCUGUGCCGGGUGUGUUGUUCCCUGAGCAGUAAUUAUGCUGUGCUCCAGCACUGGUGGCAGUGCUUCCAGAUGGUCAUCCUCAGAGCACCACAUUCAUCAGAGUCGGCCCCAAAACCUUCAUGGGCACUCCAGUAAUGAGGUCCAAUCAAACCACCAUCCAGGCCCCUCAAGAAAGCCUGCCCCCGCUAUAGGCUGGCACAUAAAAAAAAAUAAAAAAUGAAUAAUAAUAAUAAUGAUAACUUAGGCAUUACCCGGUGGGCGUGCUGCUUGACCUCCCCUGACCCGGAACCUCACGGCACACUUCCCAGAGCAGGACCUCAUCCACUAACCCUCAAGGCAUUACCUGGGGGGCAUGCUGCUUGACCUCCCUUGCAGGGUCGCCUUGCUGCCCUGGAACCUCCCGGCACACUUCUCACACUUCCCAGAACAGCAUCUCAUCACUGCCCCUCAAGAGGUUGUUGAGUCACUCUUCACGUCCUCCCUGAAGGAAGCCGGCGGCCUGAAGCACCGCGGGCAGGUCACCACCACCAGCCUGCAGGCCAGGGACCACAAACACCUCUGGAAGGGACUCUGGAAUGGCAGGCUUCACUGUGGCUUCACUAAGGUCUCCUCACUCUUAUAUAUACUCAAUUUUGCAUCAGUACACACGUCAUCGUCAUUGUCAUAUAUUGGUCGGUAUUAUCAAACGCUUUCGUCCAUCACAUCAACUGUUUCCAAAGGCCAAACAGGAGAUAAAUUGGGUUCUCAUGAGUGCUCUUUUAGGUUCAUGGUACAGAAGAAGGGUCAAACUACCACCAGGGUCAUAAAACUGUCCUUGGAAAUGCCCAAAAUGCCUAUGAAAGCCUUGCCAAGUAUGUGUGCUUGGGUGCCAAAAUGUUGAGUUAUACAGCCCAUUAUUUCUCUGCUAUAGGAUGAAGGUCUUUCACAACUCUUUUUGGCAGCUCCUCUAUACUUUAUUUUAUUGGAGCAGAGAUUAGUGUUUUUUUCCCCCUGGAGUUGCUUCCUUUAAUGAAAACAAAGUCCAUUUGUCUCUGUGUCUGAUGUUAAUACACUUCAUCCUGCCCCACAAAGCUUCUAAUUUCACGUCCUGCUUCUCUGUCUGCCCUGACUUACACGCUGGCUGGGUGCUUUGGUUCCUCAGCUGUUGUGAGGUGCAUGAGAUGAAGUGCACAAGUCCAAGCCUCGCCUUUCAUAGGCACCAGGACACCUUUAACCUUUGUCUGUUCCCUGGUCCAGGACACUCAAGGCCUGUCUCCCCAUGUUGUGCCUGGCAUUCUUCUCCAUUCAGCUUGGCACAUUUCUUAACUUCUCUCUGGGUCUUGUGUGAGGUGCAGAGUUUAUGAAGCACAUUUUAGGGCUGGGAAUAUGCACAGACUGCACCCUUCUCCUCAGGGAGAGGGGCAGGUUUAUAGUCAUAAUAAUACAAUGUUUACCAAAAUUGUUCCACUCUAUUUCUCUCCUGAUUUCUUAUUCAUUUUGUAGGCCUGGUUUGCAGUAAUUAGGUAAAGUUUGGGGCACAUGUUACAAGUGUGCCUGGCUGUGGUGCUCAUCUUCAUCCCUCUGGCCCCUGAGCCAGCAGCGGGUAAGGACCCUUCAGCCCCAGGACAUGGCCACUACAGUAUCUGGGUCACCACAGCUGCCUUGCCCAGGCUCCCUUUUAUAGACCAACCCAAAAGGAAGGAUGAACAGCUGGGUGGGUCGUCAUUAUAACCCAGACCGGUGUGUUCAUAGCUAGCCGUCAACCUCUCCACCAAGGGAGCACACUGGUUGCUGUGUGUGUCUACUCUUUCAAAGCAAACACUGCCUGGGUCACUGUAACAGCAGCCUGCCCCUGUCCCUGCAGAGGAAGGUGUUCUGUCAGUGUAACAGGAGAAAGCUGAAAAUCAACCGCACGUGCAAGACAUGCCAGGCUCUGAUGUCCAGUGUGGAGGAGAUCGGAAUUCCUAUCAUGAGGGAGACACACAACCGCACCACACCCUCACCGGACGCCAGCAAGCUAUUGCCAUCCUGUAGUCGCCACACCUCCAGCAGGGAGUUCUCCAGGCACACGCCAGCAUUGCUGCCAAGGACUUCACACUGCACUGCCCGAAACACCCGUCGAGGGUGAUGAGGAUGAGGAGACAGUCAAGAUUGUGCAGUGGGUGAAGAGCAAUGAGCCAAUGGGAGCCACCAUCAAGCAGGACGACCACUCCGGAGCCAUCAUCAUCACCCGCAUCAUGCAUGGCUGACUGCUCCGGCCUCAUCCAUGCUGCUGACGAGGUGCAGGGGUCAACACCUUCAAUGUGGAGGGCAAGACACCGGCGGAUGUCCACAAGAUGCUGGUGCAGGCGGAGGGCACCAUGACCUUCAGGCUGCUCCCGGCCAGCAGCUCGGUGCACCUCAGGGAGAGCAAGGUGAGGGUGCACGCCUACUUCCACUAUGACCCCAAGGAGGACAACAAGCACAUUCCCUGCAAGGAAGCCAGGCUGCCCUUCAACAAGCUGGACAUCCUGCACAUUGUGACCCAGGAUGACCCCUACUGACAGUGUUUGACCGUGUGGACGGACCCUGACGGUUGCUGUGAUGUGCAGGUGACGGCUUGGUGACGCAGGGCAUGGAGGACACAGCGCUGCAGUGGCUCAGCGAACGCCUCGGCCACCCAGACAACUUCACUUCUGUGAUAUUCCUGCCCAGACCAAGGUAUCAGCUGUUACACAUUAAGGGAUGUUGUUUAUAUGGGGGUGUGCUUUUUGUUGUGUGUUGAGAUGGGAGGAGAAGGUAUGCAAAGGUCAUGCAGGGAAGGGAGCAAAUGGAGACUUUUGCUGGGUCUCAUUUUCCUUACUUAGUUUUUUCCUGUUAGUAUUGCAUAUUAGUUGGAAUGAUGUGGACAAACUAGCUAAAACGCUCUCUUCGUAAUGGCAGACCUUGCAUUAGUAUAACGAGUGGCCCAGCAAGUGAAGGCAAGUGAAGAGCUACUUGGGGUGUGGUGAGGCUGUUAGGUGAGGCUGAUGGCGGCAGUGCUUCAUCUGUGCUCUCAAUAGAAUGGCGACCCAGCAAGUGUAGGAAUUGAAUGGUCAGGCCACACAAAAAUUGGCUGGAGAGGUGAAAUAGAAUCUUGCCUGGAGUGAGGUGAGCUACACUGAUGGACAGACAGAGGUGGGAAACCAUGUGCUGAAGUAGAACCCUGAGUGAUAUAUAAUGAGAUGGACGUGAAAUUAUUACCUUAGCCAGGGCAGGAUGGAUCACACAAGACCAGACGGAGGGAGAUAUGGAGAACUAGGAGUCAUAGAAGCCAGGGCAGACAGCAGCCAAGGUGGAGGGAUGAAAUAAGAACCUUAGCCAGGGCAGGAUGCAUCACACAAGACCAGACAGAGAGAGAUAUGGAGAACUAGGAGUCAUAGAAGCCAAGACAGACAGGGAACCAAGUGU